GAGCUCAGCUGGUUAGAGCAUGGUGCUGAUAAUGCCAAGGUUGCAGGUUCAAUCCCCGUAUGAGACA
This is a non-coding RNA of Podarcis lilfordi (Lilford's wall lizard), 67 nucleotides long. Lineage: Eukaryota; Metazoa; Chordata; Lepidosauria; Squamata; Lacertidae. The record is from the annotation of a GenBank genome assembly.